This 506-nucleotide ribosomal RNA is filed under the name uncultured bacterium. Its description in RNAcentral is "partial 16S ribosomal RNA". It matches the Rfam family "Bacterial small subunit ribosomal RNA", at positions 30 to 523 of the family's 1533-position model. The record is from RNAcentral.
AUUGAACGCUGGCGGCAGGCCUAACACAUGCAAGUCGAACGGCAGCACAGAAGAGCUUGCUCUUUGGGUGGCGAGUGGCGGACGGGUGAGUAGUGUCUGGGAAACUGCCCGAUGGAGGGGGAUAACUACUGGAAACGGUAGCUAAUACCGCAUAACGUCGCGAGACCAAAGUGGGGGACCUUCGGGCCUCACACCAUCGGAUGUGCCCAGAUGGGAUUAGCUAGUAGGUGGGGUAAUGGCUCACCUAGGCGACGAUCCCUAGCUGGUCUGAGGGGAUGACCGGCCACACUGGAACUGAGACACGGUCCAGACUCCUACGGGAGGCAGCAGUGGGGAAUUUUGCACAAUGGGCGCAAGCCUGAUGCAGCCAUGCCGCGUGUAUGAAGAAGGCCUUCGGGUUGUAAAGUACUUUCAGCGGGGAGGAAGGCGGUGGAGUUAAUAACUUCACCGAUUGACGUUACCCGCAGAAGAAGCACCGGCUAACUCCGUGCCAGCAGCCGCAGUAA